RNAcentral lists this ribosomal RNA (381 nucleotides) under uncultured eukaryote. RNAcentral's name for it is "SSU rRNA". It matches the Rfam family "Eukaryotic small subunit ribosomal RNA", at positions 587 to 972 of the family's 1831-position model. The record is from RNAcentral.
AGCUCCAAUAGCGUAUAUUAAAGUUGUUGCGGUUAAAAAGUUCGUAGUUGGAUUUCUGCCAAGGACGACCGGUCCGCCCUCUGGGUGAGUAUCUGGCUUGGCCUGGGCAUCUUCUUGGAGAACGUUGCUGCACUUCGCUGUGUGGCGCGGUAUCCAGGACCUUUACUUUGAGGAAAUUAGAGUGUUUCAAGCAGGCUUUUGCCUUGAAUACAUUAGCAUGGAAUAAUAAGAUAGGACCUCGGUUCUAUUUUGUUGGUUUCUAGAGCUGGGGUAAUGAUUAAUAGGGAUAGUUGUGGGCAUUCGUAUUUAACUGUCAGAGGUGAAAUUCUUGGAUUUGUUAAAGACGGACCACUGCGAAAGCAUUUGCCAAGGAUGUUUUCA